AUUGAACGCUGGCGGCAGGCUUAACACAUGCAAGUCGAGCGGGGUGAUGGUGCUUGCACUAUCACUUAGCGGCGGACGGGUGAGUAAUGCUUAGGAAUCUGCCUAUUAGUGGGGGACAACAUCUCGAAAGGGAUGCUAAUACCGCAUACGUCCUACGGGAGAAAGCAGGGGAUCACUUGUGACCUUGCGCUAAUAGAUGAGCCUAAAUCGGAUUAGCUAGUUGGUGGGGUAAAGGCCUACCAAGGCGACGAUCUGUAGCGGGUCUGAGAGGAUGAUCCGCCACACUGGGACUGAAACACGGCCCAGACUCCUACGGGAGGCAGCAGUGGGGAAUAUUGGACAAUGGGGGGAACCCUGAUCCAGCCAUGCCGCGUGUGUGAAGAAGGCCUUAUGGUUGUAAAGCACUUUAAGCGAGGAGGAGGCUCUUUUGGUUAAUACCCAAGAUGAGUGGACGUUACUCGCAGAAUAAGCACCGGCUAACUCUGUGCCAGCAGCCGCCGUAA
RNAcentral lists this ribosomal RNA (503 nucleotides) under uncultured bacterium. RNAcentral's name for it is "partial 16S ribosomal RNA". It matches the Rfam family "Bacterial small subunit ribosomal RNA", at positions 30 to 523 of the family's 1533-position model. The record is from RNAcentral.